This is a long non-coding RNA of Rhea pennata, 678 nucleotides long. RefSeq lists it as uncharacterized. The record is from RefSeq and is a predicted model, not a curated record. Lineage: Eukaryota; Metazoa; Chordata; Aves; Rheiformes; Rheidae. The transcript is spliced from 4 exons.
GGGUCCUUCUGCGCCUGGACUGUCUCAUCAGCCCUGGAUUUUCACUUUCCCUGAACAGAUCUGGAGGUCUCCUCGGGUGUCAGAUCCAAGCACAGAGCAAAUAUUCCCUCAUCUCUGCUCUGACCAUGCCACAGUCGCUAACUGUCCCCAGGACCCAUCCUGUGGGCUGGGCUCCCACACCACGGCUUGUCCCGGCGUCAGCCCUCCGGCCGGGGCCGAGACACCCGCCUGUGCCCCACGUGGCCCCGCGAAGCCCGCGCGCCCCACGGCCUGCCCACGCUGCGCUGCGGGGAGCACCCUCUUCAGCGCCCUCAUGCCCAGCGCUUCGUCGACGCCCUGCAAGCAGGACUGCCCUUCUGCAGGAAUGGGAAUGUCAAGUGCUUAAGAGCUAAGUUAAAACAGCACAGGGCAGAGCAGGUCCCUGCCCAGGCACCGGUGGCUCCUGCAAGCCGGGGGUGUGGGAGGCAGCGGCGAACGCAAGACACAGCCAGGCUUUUCUUCGAACGAUCCUAGACAGUCCACCAGCCCUGGCCCCAAAUCCUACCGAGGCACAGACACUGCGCCGCAUUCCUGCGAGCUCUGCGGCUGCUCUUCCCGAAGCAGAGCCACCGGGACGGCUCCGGGCUGCCAGCUGCCCGGCACGCCGAGGCGCUCCCAGCCUGCCUUAAGCGCAGAGCA